CUCAUUUGUGGCCUUAGAGAGC
Molecule: non-coding RNA, 22 nt
Filed under: Arabidopsis thaliana (thale cress)
Lineage: Eukaryota; Viridiplantae; Streptophyta; Magnoliopsida; Brassicales; Brassicaceae
Source: RNAcentral